CGUGUAGGCGGCCUUUUAAGUCAGACGUGAAAUCUCCAGGCUUAACCUGGAAACUGCGUUUGAAACUGGAGGGCUUGAGGAUCGGAGAGGGCAGUGGAAUUCCCAGUGUAGCGGUGAAAUGCGUAGAUAUUGGGAGGAACACCAGUGGCGAAGGCGACUGCCUGGACGACACCUGACGCUGAGGCGCGAAAGCUAGGGGAGCAAACGGGAUUAGAUACCCCGGUAGUCCUAGCCGUAAACGAUGGGUACUAGGUGUGGGAGGUAUCGACCCCUUCCGUGCCGCAGUUAACACAAUAAGUACCCCGCCUGGGGAGUACGGCCGCAAGGUUGAA
Molecule: ribosomal RNA, 332 nt
Filed under: uncultured bacterium
Lineage: Bacteria
Description: bacterial SSU rRNA
Rfam family: Bacterial small subunit ribosomal RNA
Source: RNAcentral